GGAAUCUUCCGCAAUGGACGAAAGUCUGACGGAGCAACGCCGCGUGAGUGAUGAAGGUUUUCGGAUCGUAAAGCUCUGUUGUUAGGGAAGAACAAGUACCGUUCGAAUAGGGCGGUACCUUGACGGUACCUAACCAGAAAGCCACGGCUAACUACGUGCCAGCAGCCGCGGUAAUACGUAGGUGGCAAGCGUUGUCCGGAAGUAUUGGGCGUAAAGGGCUCGCAGGCGGUUUCUUAAGUCUGAUGGGAAAGCCCCCGGCUCAACCGGGGAGGGUCAUUGGAAACUGGGAAACUUGAGUGCAGAAGAGGAGAGUGGAAUUCCACGUGUAGCGGUGAAAUGCGUAGAGAUGUGGAGGAACACCAGUGGCGAAGGCGACUCUCUGGUCUGUAACUGACGCUGAGGAGCGAAAGCGUGGGGAGCGAACAGGA
This 428-nucleotide unclassified non-coding RNA is filed under the name plant metagenome. Its description in RNAcentral is "partial contains 5.8S ribosomal RNA, internal transcribed spacer 2, and large subunit ribosomal RNA". It matches the Rfam family "Bacterial small subunit ribosomal RNA", at positions 358 to 777 of the family's 1533-position model. The record is from RNAcentral.